ACAGCCACAUCAAGUUGAAACACCAGUUCCUGUACAAUCACCAGUGUUAAGCAAUAUUGAGCUUGGUCAGUACUUAGAUGGGUGACCACUUGGGAAUACCAGGUGCU
Acanthosepion pharaonis is the source of this 107-nucleotide non-coding RNA. NCBI's taxonomy places the organism in Eukaryota, Metazoa, Mollusca, Cephalopoda, Sepiida, Sepiidae. The record is from the annotation of a GenBank genome assembly.